UAGAGACCGGCGCACGGGUGCGUAACGCGUAUGCAAUCUACCUUUUACAGGGGAAUAGCCCAGAGAAAUUUGGAUUAAUGCCCCAUAGUAUAUAUCAUUCGCAUGUUUGAUAUAUUAAAGUUCCAACGGUAAAAGAUGAGCAUGCGUCCCAUUAGUUAGUUGGUAAGGUAACGGCUUACCAAGACAAUGAUGGGUAGGGGUCCUGAGAGGGAGAUCCCCCACACUGGUACUGAGACACGGACCAGACUCC
This 250-nucleotide ribosomal RNA is filed under the name uncultured bacterium. Its description in RNAcentral is "partial 16S ribosomal RNA". It matches the Rfam family "Bacterial small subunit ribosomal RNA", at positions 89 to 339 of the family's 1533-position model. The record is from RNAcentral.